UGGGGAAUAUUGGACAAUGGGCGAAAGCCUGAUCCAGCCAUGCCGCGUGUGUGAAGAAGGUCUUCGGAUUGUAAAGCACUUUAAGUUGGGAGGAAGGGUUGUAGAUUAAUACUCUGCAAUUUUGACGUUACCGACAGAAUAAGCACCGGCUAACUCUGUGCCAGCAGCCGCGGUAAUACAGAGGGUGCAAGCGUUAAUCGGAAUUACUGGGCGUAAAGCGCGCGUAGGUGGUUAGUUAAGUUGGAUGUGAAAUCCACGGGCUCAACCUGGGAACUGCAUUCAAAACUGACUGACUAGAGUAUGGUAGAGGGUGGUGGAAUUUCCUGUGUAGCGGUGAAAUGCGUAGAUAUAGGAAGGAACACCAGUGGCGAAGGCGACCACCUGGACUGAUACUGACACUGAGGUGCGAAAGCGUGGGGAGCAAACA
This 427-nucleotide ribosomal RNA is filed under the name uncultured bacterium. RNAcentral's name for it is "partial 16S ribosomal RNA". It matches the Rfam family "Bacterial small subunit ribosomal RNA", at positions 355 to 774 of the family's 1533-position model. The record is from RNAcentral.